RNAcentral lists this transfer RNA (77 nucleotides) under Candidatus Roizmanbacteria bacterium RIFCSPHIGHO2_02_FULL_39_9. RNAcentral describes it as "tRNA-Val". It matches the Rfam family "tRNA". Rfam says of the family: Transfer RNA (tRNA) molecules are approximately 80 nucleotides in length. Their secondary structure includes four short double-helical elements and three loops (D, anti-codon, and T loops). Further hydrogen bonds mediate the characteristic L-shaped molecular structure. tRNAs have two regions of fundamental functional importance: the anti-codon, which is responsible for specific mRNA codon recognition, and the 3' end, to which the tRNAs corresponding amino acid is attached (by aminoacyl-tRNA synthetases). tRNAs cope with the degeneracy of the genetic code in two manners: having more than one tRNA (with a specific anti-codon) for a particular amino acid; and 'wobble' base-pairing, i.e. permitting non-standard base-pairing at the 3rd anti-codon position. The record is from RNAcentral. Lineage: Bacteria; Candidatus Roizmaniibacteriota.
GGACCUGUAGCUCAGUUGGCUAGAGCGUUGCAUUCACAUUGCAAAGGCCAGAGGUUCAAGUCCUCUCAGGUCCACAA